Molecule: ribosomal RNA, 515 nt
Filed under: uncultured bacterium
Lineage: Bacteria
Description: partial 16S ribosomal RNA
Rfam family: Bacterial small subunit ribosomal RNA
Source: RNAcentral
GAUGAACGCUGGCGGCGUGCCUAAUACAUGCAAGUCGAGCGAAUGGAUUGAGAGCUUGCUCUCAAGAAGUUAGCGGCGGACGGGUGAGUAACACGUGGGUAACCUGCCCAUAAGACUGGGAUAACUCCGGGAAACCGGGGCUAAUACCGGAUAAUAUUUUGAACUGCAUGGUUCGAAAUUGAAAGGCGGCUUCGGCUGUCACUUAUGGAUGGACCCGCGUCGCAUUAGCUAGUUGGUGAGGUAACGGCUCACCAAGGCAACGAUGCGUAGCCGACCGUGGAGGGUGAUCGGCCACACUGGGACUGAGACACGGCCCAGACUCCUACGGGAAGCAGCAGUAGGGAAUCUUCCGCAAUGGACGAAAGUCUGACGGAGCAACGCCGCGUGAGUGAUGAAGGCUUUCGGGUCGUAAAACUCUGUUGUUAGGGAAGAACAAGUGCUAGUUGAAUAAGCUGGCACCUUGACGGUACCUAACCAGAAAGCCACGGCUAACUACGUGCCAGCCGCCGCGGUAA